RNAcentral lists this small RNA (24 nucleotides) under Arabidopsis thaliana (thale cress). RNAcentral's name for it is "ATSL046700". The record is from RNAcentral. Lineage: Eukaryota; Viridiplantae; Streptophyta; Magnoliopsida; Brassicales; Brassicaceae.
UUCUGUCCUUCGACGAUCAUCCAC